GGGUUGUGAGGUUAAGCGACUAAGCGUACACGGUGGAUGCCCUGGCAGUCAGAGGCGAUGAAGGACGUGCUAAUCUGCGAAAAGCGUCGGUAAGGUGAUAUGAACCGUUAUAACCGGCGAUGUCCGAAUGGGGAAACCCAGUGCAAUUCGUUGCACUAUCGUUAACUGAAUACAUAGGUUAACGAGGCGAACCGGGGGAACUGAAACAUCUAAGUACCCCGAGGAAAAGAAAUCAACCGAGAUUCCCCCAGUAGCGGCGAGCGAAC
RNAcentral lists this ribosomal RNA (266 nucleotides) under Klebsiella pneumoniae. Its description in RNAcentral is "partial 23S ribosomal RNA". It matches the Rfam family "Bacterial large subunit ribosomal RNA", at positions 1 to 258 of the family's 2925-position model. The record is from RNAcentral. Lineage: Bacteria; Pseudomonadati; Pseudomonadota; Gammaproteobacteria; Enterobacterales; Enterobacteriaceae.